UGGGUGAAUGUGAGGGAAUUAAAAUCAAUUGGUAAGUAAGUCAGAGUUGUGUUAAUAUAUUUAACAUUUUUCUGUUCUUUCUUUUUUGUUGAUAA
Long non-coding RNA from Sinocyclocheilus rhinocerous, 95 nucleotides. RefSeq lists it as uncharacterized. The transcript is spliced from 3 exons. The record is from RefSeq and is a predicted model, not a curated record. NCBI's taxonomy places the organism in Eukaryota, Metazoa, Chordata, Actinopteri, Cypriniformes, Cyprinidae.